AGAGCGAACGCUGGCGGCAGGCCUAACACAUGCAAGUCGAGCGGCCGUAGCAAUACGGCAGCGGCAGACGGGAUAGUAACACGUGGGAACGCGCCCUUCGGUUCGGAAUAACUCAGGGAAACUUGAGCUAAUACCGGAUACGCCCUUACGGGGAAAGAUUUAUUGCCGAAGGAACGGCCCGCGUCCGAUUAGCUAGUUGGUGAGGUAAUGGCUCACCAAGGCUCCGAUCGGUAGCUGGUCUGAGAGGAUGACCAGCAUCACUGGGACUGAGACACGGCCCAGACUCCUACGGGAGACAGCAGUGGGGAAUAUUGGACAAUGGGCGCAAGCCUGAUCCAGCCAUGCCGCGUGGAUGAUGAAGGCCUUAGGGUUGUAAAGUCCUUUUAACGGGGAAGAUAAUGACGGUACCCGUAGAAUAAGCCCCGGCUAACUUCGCGCCAGCAGCCGC
Molecule: ribosomal RNA, 448 nt
Filed under: uncultured bacterium
Lineage: Bacteria
Description: SSU rRNA
Rfam family: Bacterial small subunit ribosomal RNA
Source: RNAcentral